AUUAAUAGGGAUAGUUGGGGGCAUUAAUAUUUAAUUGUCAGAGGUGAAAUUCUUGGAUUUAUGAAAGAUUAACUUCUGCGAAAGCAUCUGCCAAGGAUGUUUUCAUUAAUCAAGAACGAAAGUUAGGGGAUCGAAGACGAUCAGAUACCGUCGUAGUCUUAACCAUAAACGAUGCCGACCAGCGAUUAGGAGACGUUGAAUACAAAACACCACCAUCGGUGCGGUCGUCCUUGGCGUCGG
This 240-nucleotide ribosomal RNA is filed under the name Acanthamoeba genotype T4. RNAcentral describes it as "partial 18S ribosomal RNA". It matches the Rfam family "Eukaryotic small subunit ribosomal RNA", at positions 868 to 1092 of the family's 1831-position model. Lineage: Eukaryota; Discosea; Longamoebia; Acanthamoebidae. The record is from RNAcentral.